GUGGUCCCUUUGACAGCACAUAGACUAAACUUGGAACGAUACAGAGAAGAUUGGCGUGGCCCCUGUGCAAGGAUGGCAUGCAAAUUCAUGAAGCGUUCCACAUUUAU
Small nuclear RNA from Alexandromys fortis (reed vole), 107 nucleotides. The record is from RefSeq and is a predicted model, not a curated record. Lineage: Eukaryota; Metazoa; Chordata; Mammalia; Rodentia; Cricetidae.